This 253-nucleotide ribosomal RNA is filed under the name uncultured bacterium. RNAcentral's name for it is "partial 16S ribosomal RNA". It matches the Rfam family "Bacterial small subunit ribosomal RNA", at positions 524 to 776 of the family's 1533-position model. The record is from RNAcentral.
UACGUAGGGUGCGAGCGUUAAUCGGAAUUACUGGGCGUAAAGGGUGCGCAGGUGGGUUUGCAAGUUUGAUGUGAAAGCCCCGGGCUUAACCCGGGAAUGGCAUUGAAUACUGCAGAUCUGGAGGAUUGGAGGGGGGACUGGAAUUCUUGGUGUAGCAGUGAAAUGCGUAGAUAUCAAGAGGAACACCAGUGGCGAAGGCGAGUCCCUGGACAAUACCUGACACUGAGGCACGAAAGCCAAGGGAGCAAACAGG